AUUUGGCUCAGUGGUAGAGCGCCCGCCUCGCACAUGCGAGACCCUGGGUUCGAUUAUCAGCACCAGAUA
This 69-nucleotide transfer RNA is filed under the name Marmota monax (woodchuck). Its description in RNAcentral is "tRNA.Ala". The record is from RNAcentral. Lineage: Eukaryota; Metazoa; Chordata; Mammalia; Rodentia; Sciuridae.